Non-coding RNA from Teladorsagia circumcincta, 74 nucleotides. NCBI's taxonomy places the organism in Eukaryota, Metazoa, Nematoda, Chromadorea, Rhabditida, Trichostrongylidae. The record is from the annotation of a GenBank genome assembly.
GAACCCGGGCCGCCCGCGUGGUAGAAUGCUCGCCUGCCACGCGGGCGGCCCGGGUUCGAUUCCCGGCCGAUGCA